GGAUAGCUCAGUUAGUAGAAGAUGAGACUCUUAAUCUCAGGGUUGUGGGUUUGAGCCCCAUGUUGAGCA
Molecule: non-coding RNA, 69 nt
Organism: Podarcis lilfordi (Lilford's wall lizard)
Lineage: Eukaryota; Metazoa; Chordata; Lepidosauria; Squamata; Lacertidae
Source: the annotation of a GenBank genome assembly